Molecule: ribosomal RNA, 92 nt
Filed under: Slackia isoflavoniconvertens
Lineage: Bacteria; Bacillati; Actinomycetota; Coriobacteriia; Eggerthellales; Eggerthellaceae
Description: partial 16S ribosomal RNA
Rfam family: Bacterial small subunit ribosomal RNA
Source: RNAcentral
UUCCACGGAGAGUUUGAUCCUGGCUCAGGAUGAACGCUGGCGGCGCGCCUAACACAUGCAAGUCGAACGAGUAAGACGCCUUCGGGCGUGGA